Molecule: ribosomal RNA, 254 nt
Filed under: uncultured bacterium
Lineage: Bacteria
Description: partial 16S ribosomal RNA
Rfam family: Bacterial small subunit ribosomal RNA
Source: RNAcentral
GACGAACCGUGCGAACGUUGUUCGGAAUUACUGGGCUUAAAGCGCGUGUAGGCGGGCCGGCACGUCGGCUGCUGAAAUCCCCCGGCUCAACCGGGGAAGGGGCACCGAUACGACCGGCCUGGAGGGGGGUAGGGGGGACGGGAACUUCCGGUGGAGCGGUGAAAUGCGUUGAGAUCGGAAGGAACGCCCGCGGCGAAAGCGCGUCCCUGGACCCCGCCUGACGCUGAGACGCGAAAGCCAGGGGAGCGAACGGG